CACCGCCUGGGGAGUACGACCGCAAGGUUAAAACUCAAAUGAAUUGACGGGGACCCGCACAAGUAGUGGAGCAUGUGGUUUAAUUCGAAGAUACGCGCAGAACCUUACCAACACUUGACAUGUUCGUCGCGACUUUAAGAGAUUAAAGUUUUCGGUUCGGCCGGACGAAACACAGGUGCUGCAUGGCUGUCGUCAGCUCGUGUCGUGAGAUGUUGGGUUAAGUCCCGCAACGAGCGCAACCCUCACUUUUAGUUGCUAUCAUUUAGUUGGGCACUCUGAAAGAACUGCCAGUGAUAAGCUGGAGGAAGGUGGGGAUGACGUCAAGUCCUCAUGGCCCUUACGUGUUGGGCUACACACGUGCUACAAUGGUAUCUACAACAGGAAGCGAAACAGCGAUGUUAAGCAAAUCCUUAAAAGAUACCUCAGUUCGGAUUGCACUCUGCAACUCGAGUGCAUGAAGCUGGAAUUACUAGUAAUCGUGGAUCAGCGUGCCACGGUGAAUGCGUUCCCGGGUCUUGUACACACCGCCCGUCACACCAUGGGAGUUGGUUCUACCUUAAGGCAAGGUUUUAUACCCUUGACCACGGUAUAGUCAGCGACUGGGGUGAAGUCGUAACAAGGUAGCCGUAGGGGAACCUGCGGCUGGAUUACCUCCUUUCUAAGGAUGAAUAAAAGUAAAAUUUUAUUCUAAAUAAUAUACAUAGGUUAAUGUUGACCGUCCUCAUUUCUCUUCUUAAUUAGUGUUUCUCUUGCAUGGGGGCCGGUAGCUCAGUUGGUUAGAGCACACCCUUGAUAAGGGUGGGGUCGAAAGUUCGAGUCUUUCUCGGCCCACCAAUUUAAGAUUAAGGGGGAUUAGCUCAGCUGGGAGAGCGCCUGAUUUGCAUUCAGGAGGUCAGCGGUUCGAUCCCGCUAUCCUCCACCAAACACUUAGUUAUAUCAAAUCGUAAAUAAAAUAAUUAAUAUCAAUAUCUAUAUCCGAACAUUAGUAAUGUUAUUAGCUAAUGUUCAAAAUAAAAAAAUUUGAUUCAACACAGAAUUUUUUUCUG
Molecule: small RNA, 1046 nt
Filed under: uncultured Pelagibacterales bacterium
Lineage: Bacteria; Pseudomonadati; Pseudomonadota; Alphaproteobacteria; Candidatus Pelagibacterales
Description: bacterial SSU rRNA
Rfam family: Bacterial small subunit ribosomal RNA (bases 1-658)
Source: RNAcentral